AAUCACGUAAGUCGCUUUGUGUUCAAAAACAUGUCUUUUUUGUAUUAUAAUCUAAGAUUUGACCUGCCCACUGAUAAUAAAUUGAAGGGCCGCGGUAUUUUGACCGUGCAAAGGUAGCAUAAUCAUUAGUCCUUUAAUUGUGGACUGGAAUGAAUGGUUUGACGAGGUAUUUACUGUCUCAUUUUAAUAAUUUGAAUUUAACUUUUAAGUCAAAAGGCUUAAAUGAUUUUAUAGGACGAGAAGACCCUAUAGAGCUUAAUAAUUAUUUACUUUAAUAUAUUUUUGGGUAAUUAUUUUUAUUAUAGUUGUAACUAUUUUAUUGGGGUGAUAUAAAGAAUUAAAAAACUCUUUAUUUUUAUAAACAUUAAUUUAUGAUUAAUUGAUCCAUUAUUAAUGAUUAUAAGAUUAAGUUACCUUAGGGAUAACAGCGUUAUUUUUUUUGAGAGUUCUUAUCAACAGAAAAGAUUGCGACCUCGAUGUUGGAUUAAGGUAAAUAUUGGGUGUAGAAGUUCAAUAGAGAGGUCUGUUCGACCAUUAAAUCCUUACGUGAUCUGGUUUCCAAAA
Molecule: ribosomal RNA, 564 nt
Filed under: Aemodogryllinae gen. 1 sp. 2 QDZ-2022a
Lineage: Eukaryota; Metazoa; Arthropoda; Insecta; Orthoptera; Rhaphidophoridae
Description: partial large subunit ribosomal RNA
Rfam family: Bacterial large subunit ribosomal RNA
Source: RNAcentral